AGUUUAAUUGGUAAUUGAUUGAGAGAUUAUAAAUAAUGUCGCAGACUUGUAGUUGAGAGUGCUCUAGAACCGGCAUUGUGAUUUUCCGUCUCUCUCUUUUUGAGCUCAUCGAUGGAGCCGUAGAUUCCUCCGUUUUCUUGAUCGUCAGCGGGAGAUCGAGAGGAGGUAGCGGUGACUGCUCUUCUCUUCCUGGAAUGGAGGAGAAGGGGCAGAUGAGUGAGGUGCUCGAGGCGCUCGAGGUGCUCAAGAAGGCUUCCAAGGACAUCGAGGCCAAUCCUCAUAAGGGCGGGGGCGGAGGCGGGGGCGGCGGUGAUUGUGAUUCGCCUUCCAUGAAAGCUCUUCUGGAGCUUCAGACCGGCUCUGACGAUCUCCUCUCUGGUGAUCCAUGUCUCUCCACGCUCUCCGACCUCCUUUCCCGCUUCAAAUCGCUCGCUGCUUCCCUCGAGUCUAGCUCGUGCGAGAAAGGUAAGGGCGGGAUUUGGGGAUCGAUUCUCCGACGGAGAUCCGGCAAGAGCGACGAAAUGUCGAGGGUGGCCGGAUCCAUCGGCGCCGAAAUCCAGUCGUGGAUCGACCGGGUCAACGCGGAUCGGCUUGUCUCCGCCCUGCUGUGCGCCAACAAGCGAGACGAGGGGGAGCUGGUGCCGCUGCUUAGCGCCCUGGAGUCGCGCGUCUCCCGGGGCUUCGACCACGGCCUGCAAGAUGUGCUCCUCCGCUACGGCGCCUUCGCUGCCGUGGAGUCCGCUCUUGCGGACGCGCUGGUGCCGAAGCUGGUCCGCGAGCGCGCAGCGGCAGCGGCGCUCGCUCUGGUCCACUUCAACAAGGCCGUCUUUGUGGGUCCUGUUCUGAUGGGGCCCACAGUGGAUGCGAUCGUCUCCAUGUCCUCUACCUCCGUCGCCGCGCUGCGCGCUCUGAACGGGCUCAUCGCUGCCAUACGGAGCCCGCUGGUGGACGAGCUACACGCACAAGGGGCAAUUUCGCGGCUGGUCGGCCUCCUCGGCAGCGGGGAGGGCAGCGGGGUCAGCGUGGAGGUGCGAAUGCUGGCGCUCGACUGCGUGCUGGAGAUCGGUUAUUUCGGCCGGAAGGAGGCCAUCGACGCGAUGCUCGCGGAAGGGCUGAUCAAGUGGCUGGCGGCGCUCCAAAGGUCGGACCUUGGAGGUACCCUUAUCGAGAUGGACGGAAGCGAGGGAGGGGUGCCGGCGGGGUGGCUGUGGCACGGACGUGCCGUGGAAGAGGAGCGGCGAUUCCUGGAGGCGCGGCCUUUCGCGAGCUGCGUGGCGAGGUGGGCGGUGCAGGUGGAGGUCGGCGAGGGGCUGCGGCAACGAGAGAGGCGAGAUAUAAAGCGGCAGCUGGUGUGGAGGGUGAAGGAGGCCGCCGCCUCCGAGGCGGAGGCCGCCACCGUGCUUUCGGAGGUGCUGUGGGGGUCUACCAUAUGGUAACAACACUCUACGUCACGUCGCACUUGCAGUAGUUGUGGACUUUGUGGAAGGAUUAUGUUUUCAUUUGCAUAAUCUCGGCUUCUUCCCUAUCAGAUAGCGUAGUGGGAAGAGAGGGACAAGUGCAAAGCCCACAGAUAGAUUAGUUUAGAUUUGAUCUGAUCCGGCAGGUUUGUGCAUAUAAGGUUGUUCCAACUGAUAUGCCGUAAGGAGCUUGUCAAACCGGCUCUUUCAAGCUUGUGCUUACAAUUGUUGAAUUGGCAACUGACAAAAGUGUGAUUGAAGGGGAAAAUUUGAAAGCUUUCUUUGCCAACAGCUAGACAAAAUAUUCAACAUUGGAACUCCUGGUUUGUAGCUGGAUUCAAAAUGAAGCAUUUCCCUAAACUUGUUUCUGUUGCAUUUAAUGAAAAACUCAUGGACAAGGUAACUUGUUUCAUGAAUCAAGAAGAUUAGUUACAAAUGAACGACUGUAUCUGUACAAAUAAAUUCAUCCAGUCACUAUACUACUUUUGUAGCUUGGUUCUUUUUGUUCUUCUGCUAGACCUUUUUGUGCUGCUUCAGCUAUGGUUGCAGGACAAUAAAGAAACAGAAAAUUUCUAAUUUCGCCAAUAUGGAUACUGAGGUGAUGUUUCUCUUCCUCGCCUAUAAAUUUACAUGUCAGUGUUUAUUUGUACUGGUAUACGCAUACAAGUAUGAAUCCAAUCGCACUUGCAUAUGUGCAGUAGUCUAUAGACUCUCUACUGCUAAUUUGAUGUCUAUGAUUUAUACUCCACAUUUUUUUAUUAGUAUGGACUUAUCUGCACAUAUAAAUUUAGAGUAAAUUG
RNA transcript from Zingiber officinale, 2257 nucleotides. RefSeq lists it as uncharacterized. The record is from RefSeq and is a predicted model, not a curated record. Lineage: Eukaryota; Viridiplantae; Streptophyta; Magnoliopsida; Zingiberales; Zingiberaceae. The transcript is spliced from 2 exons.